This 253-nucleotide ribosomal RNA is filed under the name uncultured bacterium. RNAcentral describes it as "partial 16S ribosomal RNA". It matches the Rfam family "Bacterial small subunit ribosomal RNA", at positions 524 to 776 of the family's 1533-position model. The record is from RNAcentral.
UACGUAGGGUGCGAGCGUUAAUCGGAAUUACUGGGCGUAAAGCGUGCGCAGGCGGUGAUGUAAGACAGGUGUGAAAUCCCCGGGCUUAACCUGGGAACUGCAUUUGUGACUGCAUCGCUGGAGUGCGGCAGAGGGGGAUGGAAUUCCGCGUGUAGCAGUGAAAUGCGUAGAUAUCUGGAGGAAUACCGGUGGCGAAGGCGGCAUCCUGGACCGGCAUUGACGCUGAGGAGCGAAAGCCAGGGGAGCAAACGGG